This 500-nucleotide ribosomal RNA is filed under the name uncultured bacterium. RNAcentral's name for it is "partial 16S ribosomal RNA". It matches the Rfam family "Bacterial small subunit ribosomal RNA", at positions 30 to 523 of the family's 1533-position model. The record is from RNAcentral.
AUUGAACGCUGGCGGCAUGCCUUACACAUGCAAGUCGAACGGCAGCGCGGGAGCAAUCCUGGCGGCGAGUGGCGAACGGGUGAGUAAAGCAUCGGAACGUGCCCUGGAGUGGGGGAUAACGUAGCGAAAGUUACGCUAAUACCGCAUAUUCUGUGAGCAGUAAAGCAGGGGAUCGCAAGACCUUGCGCUUUAGGAGCGGCCGAUGUCGGAUUAGCUAGUUGGUGAGGUAAAGGCUCACCAAGGCGACAAUCCGUAGCGGGUCUGAGAGGAUGAUCGGCCACACUGGGACUGAGAUACGGACCAGCGUCCUACGGGAGGCAGCAGUGGGGAAUUUUGGACAAUGGGCGCAAGCCUGAUCCAGCCAUGCCGCGUGAGUGAAGAAGGCCUUCGGGUUGUAAAGCUCUUUCGGUGGGGAAGAAAUUGCUUAGGCUAAUAUCCUGAGUAGAUGACGGUACCCGCAUAAGAAGCACCGGCUAACUACGUGCCAGCCGCCGCGGUAA